RNAcentral lists this ribosomal RNA (138 nucleotides) under uncultured bacterium. RNAcentral describes it as "partial 16S ribosomal RNA". It matches the Rfam family "Bacterial small subunit ribosomal RNA", at positions 355 to 509 of the family's 1533-position model. The record is from RNAcentral.
UGGGGGAUAUUGCACAAUGGGGGAAACCCUGAUGCAGCGACGCCGCGUGUGGGAAGACGGUCUUCUGGAUUGUAAACCACUGUCCCCAGGGACGAAAAUGACGGUACCUGGGGAGGAAGCUCCGGCUAACUACGUGCC